GAAGUUGACUCGUGCAUAUUUACAAGCGGGGGCAUCUGUGGCCCAUAGACACAUUCUCCAUUUAUUUUAUUAUUUGUUUAUAGGCUGAUGUAAUGACAAUGAUUUCAUGGUGUUGGGAGUAAGAAUUGGAGAUCUGAUACUGCUAACAUGUUGGUUAGCAUCACAGCUUGUCCAUAGGGAUACUGGCUGGGGUAGCAUUUGGAUCUGUUUCAAGGUGUGUUCCUGCUGCUGCCUUGUGUGUUCAAUCCUGUGGACAAUAAUAAUCAUGCAAACCACAUAUAUGUUGCAUUUUUGUUUAUUAAAAUCCUUAAGUGAUAAUUCUGAAAGCCAAAUGAUUAAUUUUUUAAUGCUAUUAUUUAUUUUCCAUUUACUGUAAACUCACAAAUUUUUGUUUUUUAAUGCUGUUAUUUAUUUUCCAAUUAUUGAAAAUACACAGAUUUUUGAUAUAUUUUUUUUACUGAAAAUUGCUAC
Molecule: long non-coding RNA, 471 nt
Organism: Mytilus californianus (California mussel)
Lineage: Eukaryota; Metazoa; Mollusca; Bivalvia; Mytilida; Mytilidae
Exons: 3
Source: RefSeq, a predicted model, not a curated record